Phocoena sinus (vaquita) is the source of this 2169-nucleotide long non-coding RNA. Lineage: Eukaryota; Metazoa; Chordata; Mammalia; Artiodactyla; Phocoenidae. The record is from Ensembl.
UCAUUCAAUUAAAAAAAUGAUCCAUAAAAAUGGAAUGAUACAGUGAGCUUGGAACAUGCUUGAUGGAAACAUUUCAAAUGCUGUUCUACUCACUUUCUUUUUCAGGCUAGAAGUAUAGUUGCUUUGUAUUUGCAAAUGCAGAAAGUCUAUUUUAUGAAUGGGAUUAAAAGAGGGAUUUAGCAUGUAGUUAUUUCAUUGGUUACUAAUUCCCUCUAUAUGUUUAAAAUAUCAGACACAUUUUCCAUAUCUCAUGUGAAGUAGACACCGUUAGUUCUAUUAUAUAGUUUAUAGUUCACACUGUUGCCCCUUGUGUUGGCAUAACAGUGUUUGACACACUUCUUCUCGAUUGGUGUGAUACCAAAGGAGGCAGAGCGCUUAACAGAAAAAUAAGGGAAAGAAACAGUCAACAGAAUCCUUUUUAAAACAACUGUCAUUGAAAAUGAUAGAGUAAUAACCCUGAGCUCACCUUAGCUCAUGGACAUAGCAAAAUUACAACUAUUUACAGAACAACCAUUGAUGUAAAAGACUGGAACCUACCAAGAAAGGUCUUCUAGAACUAAGGAUAUAAAAAAGGGAUCACAGCAAGGCAGGUAGUAGGGGCAGAGUCACAGUAUAAUCAGUUCCCUGGCUUGGGCAACUCAUGAAUGGGAGAAUAAUUACAGUUGCAGAGAUUCUCCCCAACGAAUAAGGGGUCUGAGCCCCACAUCAGUCUGCCCAGCCUGGAGGUUCUGCAACAAGAAGAUGAGUCCCCAGAACAUUUGACUUUGAAGGCCAGUGGGGCUUGCUUUUAGGAGUUCCAGAGGGCUCUGCGAAAUAGAGGCUUCACUCUCCAAGGGCACACACAACAUCUCACAUGCUUCAGGACCCAGCAUAGAGGCAGUAAUUUAAAGGAUUUGGGGUCAAACCUACCUGCUAAUCUUGAAGAAUCUCCCUAGGGACAUAGACACUGACAGUAGCCAUUCUUGAGAGUUCAUUCUACCACUGGUGCUGCAGCACCAUUUUGGAAUCCACCCCACCAACAACAACCAACCUGUAGGCACCAGUACUGGGAAGCCUCAGGCCAAGCAACUAACUGGGCAGUGACACAGCCCAACCCAUCAGAAGAGAGGCUCCUUUAAGACUUUCUGAGCCAAAAGCCACCCCUGGACACAUACCUGCACACCAGAGGGUCUAGGACCUGGCACCACACACCAAUGUGCAGGCAGUAGACCCAGGACCCCCAGGGCCCUGCAGCCAGAGAUCCAGAUCCACCCACCAGUGGGCAGGCACCAGCCCCAGAAUCACUGGCUCCACCCACCAAUAAGCUUGCUCUAGCUUCGAACCAGACCCACCCACCAGCAGUCCAUUGCCAUCUCUGGAAGCCCUCAGCCCUGCAGCCAGACCCCAGAACCUGUCACUGCCUGCCUUUGGGCCAGCACUGUCCCUUGGAUCUGGCUUCACCCAUUGGUGGGCUGGCCCCAGCCUCAGGAUCUUCUAGACCUGACUCCAUCCAUCAGUGAUACAGAGCUAACCCCAGGGCUCCCCAGGGUUCUACAGCCAGCCACCUUGUGACCCAACGCUGCCAACCAGUGGCCGGCAGCCUCCACACAGGAAGGUCCUGGCAAACAACCAGACUGGGGGCCAACCAAGCCAACCAGGCCACCCAUAGCCGUCAGCUUACCGCAAUAGAAGGACCCGCACAACACACAUAGGGGCACUCCUAGAGUAUAUAGCUCUGAUGACGAGAGAGCAGUGUACUGCUGGGAUUCAUAGGAAGUCUCUUGCAAAAGGCCUCUUCUCCAAGGUUGGGAAAUGGAACCAACCUCCCAGAUACAUAGAAAUAUAAACAUUAAGUUAGACAAAAUGAAUUGACAGAGGAAAAUGGUCCAAAUGAAGGAAUAAGAUACAACCCCAGAAGAAGAGCUAAGUGAAGUAGAGAUAGACAACUACCCAACAACGAAUUCAGGGUGAUGAUCCCAAAAAACUUGGGAGAAGAAUGGAUGGAAAGAGUGAGAAAUUAGAAGUUUUUAACAAAGAGUUGGAAAAUAUAAAGAACCACUAAACAAGAUGAAGAAUGCAAUAACUGAAAUGAAAAAUACACUAGGGGGAAUCAGCAGUAGACUAAAUGGUACAAAGGAACAGAUCAGUGGGCUGGAGGACAGAGUAGUGGAAAUCACUGAUGCUUAGCAG